GAUGAACGCUGGCGGCGUGCCUUAAGCAUGCAAGUCGAACGGUGAGAGUCGCAAGAUUCAAGCAGUGGCGGACGGGUGAGUAACACGUGGGUAACCUGCCCAUAAGACUGGGAUAACUCCGGGAAACCGGGGCUAAUACCGGAUAACAUUUUGAACCGCAUGGUUCGAAAUUGAAAGGCGGCUUCGGCUGUCAAUUAUGGAUGGAACCGCGUCGCAUUAGCUAGUUGGUGAGGUAACGGCUCACCAAGGCAACGAUGCGUAGCCGACCUGCGAGGGUGAUCGGCAACACUGGGACUGGGGACCGGCCCAGACUCCUACGGGAGGCAGCAGUAGGGAAUCUUCCGAAAUGGACGAAAGUCUGACGGAGCAACGCCGCGUGAGUGAUGAAGGCUUUCGGGUCGUAAAACUCUGUUGUUAGGGAAGAACAAGUGCUAGUUGAAUAAGCUGGCACCUUGACGGUACCUAACCAGAAAGCCACGGCUAACUACGUGCCAGCCGCCGCCGUAA
RNAcentral lists this ribosomal RNA (507 nucleotides) under uncultured bacterium. RNAcentral's name for it is "partial 16S ribosomal RNA". It matches the Rfam family "Bacterial small subunit ribosomal RNA", at positions 28 to 523 of the family's 1533-position model. The record is from RNAcentral.